RNAcentral lists this ribosomal RNA (253 nucleotides) under uncultured bacterium. RNAcentral describes it as "partial 16S ribosomal RNA". It matches the Rfam family "Bacterial small subunit ribosomal RNA", at positions 524 to 776 of the family's 1533-position model. The record is from RNAcentral.
UACGUAGGGGGCAAGCGUUGUCCGGAAUCAUUGGGCGUAAAGAGCGUGUAGGCGGCCCGGUAAGUCCGCUGUGAAAGUCCAGGGCUCAACCCUGGGAUGCCGGUGGAUACUGUCGGGCUCGAGUCCGGAAGAGGAGUGUGGAAUUCCUGGUGUAGCGGUGAAAUGCGCAGAUAUCUGGAGGAACACCGGUGGCGAAGGCGACAUCCUGGACCGGUAUUGACGCUGAGGCGCGAAAGCCAGGGGAGCAAACGGG